AUGCCGAUAACGGCGGAUCGACAAAAACCAAGAAGCCUCGCGACCGCUGCGUCCACAAGAGAUCGCCCACCAAGCUCCGAGACUUCGAAGCGCCGGUACCAAUCAACACCUCCAAGAAGGAACGCGACGAUGAUGACGCUGCUGCCAAGGGUUUCCCCCGGUACGUGGCGAGGAGUGAGGAAGGGUAGCCCCGAUGCCCUUCAGGAAGGUUUGGCGGCACCCUCAAGCGCCACCGCGUCGGUGUCGGCCAAACCAACAGGGAUUUCUCCCAAUCCCAUCCUCUACCUCAGGCACUUCAGAGUUCGCCACCAAACCGACCACCACCCAGCGCCAAUACGGACACGAAGCUUCCCACGCUGUCUCACCACAGCACCACGAAGAUAG
This 384-nucleotide ribosomal RNA is filed under the name Triticum aestivum (bread wheat). Its description in RNAcentral is "partial small subunit ribosomal RNA". Lineage: Eukaryota; Viridiplantae; Streptophyta; Magnoliopsida; Poales; Poaceae. The record is from RNAcentral.